Long non-coding RNA from Humulus lupulus (European hop), 672 nucleotides. RefSeq lists it as uncharacterized. The transcript has 4 exons. Lineage: Eukaryota; Viridiplantae; Streptophyta; Magnoliopsida; Rosales; Cannabaceae. The record is from RefSeq and is a predicted model, not a curated record.
GGUGGGUGGCUCGGUCUCACGAAGGGGGUUUCAGUCAGUUUUUCUCAGAGUUGUCUUCUUCAAUGGCGGCUCUUAACAUUUCGACAAGAAUGUCUCUCCUCAAACCCGAGAGGACCCCUGAUUUUCUACCAUCCUCCAAGCGCCUUAGCGAUUUCCUUGCAUUUCAAUCUAGACCCAGAAAGAAACGUGCCAGAAGAGCCAUGCAUUCACUGUUAGAUCCAUGAAGAUAGCCAAGGAGAGAUACCGAGGCCAGCUCAACUCGCCUAAUGGCCUUGCGGGGAGCCCUGACAAGUACUCUCUUUAUGAUGAUCAGUCCAUUGAAUAUUACUCUAUGGGCUAGGCAAGGGCGACUUCGAACAAUCGAAGAAAAAUGAAGAUAGUUUGUACAAUUGGUCCCUCCACAAGUACAGAUAAAGACUGGGAAGAUAUCAAGUUUGGAGUGGACAACCAAGUCGAUUUCUAUGCUGUCUCUUUUGUAAAAGAUGCUAGAGUGGUUCAUGAGUAGAAAGAUUAUCUUAAAAGUUGCAAUGCAGACAUUCACAUGAUUGUAAAAAUUGAAAGUGCAGACUCUAUCCCAAAUCUUCAUUCAAUUAUUCCUGCAUAUGAUGGGGCAAUGGUUGCUCGUGGGGACCUUGGAGCUGAACUUUCGAUUGAGGAUGUUCCUCUGUUACA